UGAUCCUGGCUCAGGACGAACGCUGGCGGCGUGCUUAACACAUGCAAGUCGAACGGAGAUAUAUAUUUAGUUUACUAGAAAUAUAUCUUAGUGGCGGACGGGUGAGUAACACGUGGGCAACCUGCCUUAGAGUGGGGGAUAACAGCGAGAAAUCGUUGCUAAUACCGCAUGAAAUUAGAGUUUUGCAUGAAGCUUUAAUGAAAGGAGAAAUCCGCUAUAAGAUGGGCCCGCGCCUGAUUAGCUAGUUGGUGAGGUAAUAGCUCACCAAGGCGACGAUCUGUAGCCGAUCUGAGAGGAUGACCGGCCACACUGGAACUGAGACACGGUCCAGACUCCUACGGGAGGCAGCAGUGGGGAAUAUUGCACAAUGGGGGAAACCCUGAUGCAGCAACGCCGCGUGGAGGAAGAAGGUUUUCGGAUUGUAAACUCCUGUCUUUUGGGACGAUAAUGACGGUACCAAAAGAGGAAGCCACGGCUAACUACGUGCCAGCAGCCGCGGUAAUACGUAGGUGGCGAGCGUUGUCCGGAAUUACUGGGCGUAAAGGGCGCGUAGGCGGCUAAUCAAGUCAGAUGUGAAAACCCUAGGCUUAACCUGGGGAUUGCAUUUGAAACUGACUAGCUCGAGUGUCGGAGAGGAAAGCGGAAUUCCUAGUGUAGCGGUGAAAUGCGUAGAUAUUAGGAGGAACACCAGUGGCGAAGGCGGCUUUCUGGACGAUAACUGACGCUGAGGCGCGAAAGCGUGGGGAGCAAACAGGAUUAGAUACCCUGGUAGUCCACGCCGUAAACGAUGGAUACUAGGUGUGGGAGGUAUCGAACCCUUCCGUGCCGCAGUAAACGCAAUAAGUAUCCCGCCUGGGGAGUACGGCCGCAAGGUUGAAACUCAAAGGAAUUGACAGGGGCCCGCACAAGCAGCGGAGCAUGUGGUUUAAUUCGAAGCAACGCGGAGAACCUUACCAGAACUUGACAUCCCCUGCAUAGUCCGUAAUGGGAUGAAAUCCUUCGGGACAGGGAGACAGGUGGUGCAUGGUUGUCGUCAGCUCGUGUCGUGAGAUGUUGGGUUAAGUCCCGCAACGAGCGCAACCCUUAUACUUAGUUGCUAGCAUUAAGUUGAGCACUCUAAGUAGACUGCCGGAGACAAUUCGGAGGAAGGUGGGGAUGACGUCAAAUCAUCAUGCCCCUUAUGUUCUGGGCGACACACGUGCUACAAUGGGUAAAACAACGGGAAGCGAGAUAGUGAUAUCAAGCAAAUCCCUAAAAAGUACUCCCAGUUCGGAUUGUAGGCUGCAACUCGCCUACAUGAAGUCGGAGUUGCUAGUAAUCGCGAAUCAGCAUGUCGCGGUGAAUACGUUCCCGGGCCUUGUACACACCGCCCGUCACACCACGGGAGUUGGAAGCACCCGAAGCCGGUGACUUAACCCGUUCGGAAG
RNAcentral lists this ribosomal RNA (1427 nucleotides) under uncultured bacterium. RNAcentral describes it as "16S ribosomal RNA". It matches the Rfam family "Bacterial small subunit ribosomal RNA". The record is from RNAcentral.